GAGGAAAGUCCGGGCUCUUUAUAGGCAAAUAUAGCUAUAUAAAAUAUAGUGUAGGUAACUAUAAGGAUAGUGCCACAGAAAUAAACCUAAUAUAUAAUAAUUUAUAUGUAAGGGUGCAAUGGUAUAGUAAAAAUAUACCAGAAAUAUUGUUAAGGUAUUUUCUAGGUAAACCCCAUAUUAGAGCAAAGUUAUUAGUUUAUAUGAAAAUUGUUCUAUUAUUUUUAUAUAUUAUAUAUACAUAAUGACUAAUUUUUUAAUAUACUGCAUAAAGUAAUAUUUUUAAUUAUUGUUACUUAAGAUGAAUAAUUACCCUUUUUGUUUAUUGACCUAUAAUAAAAAUAUAAACAAUUAAGAACAAAACCCGGCUUAU
This 370-nucleotide RNase P RNA is filed under the name Delesseria sanguinea. RNAcentral's name for it is "ribonuclease P RNA". The stretch from base 2 to 183 matches the Rfam family "Bacterial RNase P class A", at positions 44 to 222 of the family's 367-position model. The record is from RNAcentral. Lineage: Eukaryota; Rhodophyta; Florideophyceae; Ceramiales; Delesseriaceae.